RNAcentral lists this ribosomal RNA (451 nucleotides) under uncultured bacterium. RNAcentral's name for it is "bacterial SSU rRNA". It matches the Rfam family "Bacterial small subunit ribosomal RNA", at positions 96 to 562 of the family's 1533-position model. The record is from RNAcentral.
UGGCGGACGCCUGAGUAACGCGUGAGCAACCUACCUUCUGAUGGGGGAUAACGUCUGGAAACGGACGCUAAUACCGCAUAAACCGAUGUUAUCGCAUGGUGAUAUCGGCAAAGAGAUAUCGUCAGGAGAUGGGCUCGCGUUGGAUUAGAUAGUUGGCGGGGUAACGGCCCACCAAGUCAACGAUCCAUAGCCGGACUGAGAGGUCGGACGGCCACAUUGGAACUGAGAUACGGUCCAGACUCCUACGGGAGGCAGCAGUGGGGAAUAUUGGGCAAUGGGCGAAAGCCUGACCCAGCGACGCCGCGUGAAGGAAGAAGGUCUUCGGAUUGUAAACUUCAGUAGGCAGGGACGAAGAAAGUGACGGUACCUGCAGAGUAAGCCACGGCUAACUACGUGCCAGCAGCCGCGGUAAUACGUAGGUGGCGAGCGUUAUCCGGAUUUACUGGGUGUA